RNAcentral lists this microRNA precursor (80 nucleotides) under Medicago truncatula (barrel medic). Its description in RNAcentral is "MIR5269 microRNA precursor family". It matches the Rfam family "MIR5269 microRNA precursor family". The record is from Rfam by way of RNAcentral. Lineage: Eukaryota; Viridiplantae; Streptophyta; Magnoliopsida; Fabales; Fabaceae.
UUGGGUGACAUCAAUGUAGAACCUACACUUUGAAAACGGAACCCAUAUAAAGUGGUAUGACAUACGUUAAUUUCACCUAA